GACGAACGCUGGCGGCGUGCUUAACACAUGCAAGUCGAACGGAAAGGCCCUGCUUGCAGGGUGCUCGAGUGGCGAACGGGUGAGUAACACGUGGGUGAUCUGCCCCUUACCUUGGGAUAAGCCUGGGAAACUGGGUCUAAUACUGGAUAGGACCAUGCUGUAGGUGGUGUGGUGGAAAGAUUAGUUUCGGUAAGGGAUGAGCUCGCGGCCUAUCAGCUUGUUGGUGGGGUAAUGGCCUACCAAGGCGUCGACGGGUAGCCGGCCUGAGAGGGUGGACGGCCACAUUGGGACUGAGAUACGGCCCUGACUCCUACGGGAGGCAGCAGUGGGGAAUAUUGCACAAUGGGCGCAAGCCUGAUGCAGCGACGCCGCGUGGGGGAUGACGGCCUUCGGGUUGUAAACUCCUUUCAGCCAUGACGAAGCCCUUGUGGUGACGGUAGUGGUAGAAGAAGCACCGGCUAACUACGUG
Molecule: ribosomal RNA, 469 nt
Filed under: uncultured bacterium
Lineage: Bacteria
Description: partial 16S ribosomal RNA
Rfam family: Bacterial small subunit ribosomal RNA
Source: RNAcentral